UUCGCCCUGGAUCAAAGCAACAGGUAUAUCUCUGCUCUGCUGUGACCUUAGCUCUUGUCCCUGAGGAUUAGCACUGUCUCAGCUGAUGCCCACCCGUUUUUCCCUUGCUACUUCUCUUGCAAUACUAAUCUCAACAUAAACAAGCACCUCUGCCGAGGGAAAUGAAAUGCGGCUGAAAGGGAAGAGAAGAGCGAGCUCCUCCCAGGCUGGUUUCAGAGAAAUUCCUGCCUGCUGCUGCCUGGUCUGUGCUCCAUCCCCAUGCUUGUCCCCCCACCCAGAGAGAAAGGGAGGAGGGUGAGGAGGCCUCCACAGGGAUGCUGAAUGUCCUUCCACACCCCUGAAGAAUUCUUGUCUCUGCCUUGCCAAAAGGAAAUGCAGAUGCCAAAAAGCUGGAGCACAUCAAAUGGAGGCAAGGCAAAGGAGAUACCUUGGGGCUCAGAGACAUCCCACCGUCCUUCCCUCCUCCCCACUGCUGUCAUCUGCUUUCCCAAAGGCAUCAUGGAGGGAGGAAGAGAAAGGAAAGAUGUUGAAGCAAAUCCUAGACUGGACUCUGAUAUUUCUUAAUAUCAAGCAUUGCCCAGCGGUACAGAAGCCCAGAUGAUGCUGUACUCACCG
Chroicocephalus ridibundus (black-headed gull) is the source of this 615-nucleotide long non-coding RNA. RefSeq lists it as uncharacterized. The record is from RefSeq and is a predicted model, not a curated record. The transcript is spliced from 3 exons. Lineage: Eukaryota; Metazoa; Chordata; Aves; Charadriiformes; Laridae.